UGGACCGAUUCAGGCAAGAUACCCGGU
This 27-nucleotide ribosomal RNA is filed under the name Phytophthora honggalleglyana. Its description in RNAcentral is "Phytophthora hydropathica partial 28S ribosomal RNA". The record is from RNAcentral. Lineage: Eukaryota; Oomycota; Peronosporomycetes; Peronosporales; Peronosporaceae.